Molecule: transfer RNA, 73 nt
Filed under: Bacillota bacterium
Lineage: Bacteria; Bacillati; Bacillota
Also listed under: 1 other name
Description: tRNA-Lys
Rfam family: tRNA
About the family: Transfer RNA (tRNA) molecules are approximately 80 nucleotides in length. Their secondary structure includes four short double-helical elements and three loops (D, anti-codon, and T loops).
Source: RNAcentral
GGGACACUAGCUCAGUCGGUAGAGCACCUGACUUUUAAUCAGGUUGUCGGGGGUUCGAAUCCCCCGUGUCUCA